GACGAACGCUGGCGGCGUGCUUAACACAUGCAGGUCGAACGAUGAAGCCUAGCUUGCUAGGUGGAUUAGUGGCGAACGGGUGAGUAAUACGUGAGUAACCUACCUUUAACUCUGGGAUAAGCCCGGGAAACUGGGUCUAAUACCGGAUACGACCAAUCUCCGCAUGGGGUGUUGGCGGAAAGCGUUAUGUAGUGGUUAUAGAUGGGCUCACGGCCUAUCAGCUUGUUGGUGAGGUAACGGCUCACCAAGGCGACGACGGGUAGCCGGCCUGAGAGGGUGACCGGCCACACUGGGACUGAGACACGGCCCAGACUCCUACGGGAGGCAGCAGUGGGGAAUAUUGCACAAUGGGCGCAAGCCUGAUGCAGCGACGCCGCGUGAGGGAUGACGGCCUUCGGGUUGUAAACCUCUGUUAGCAGGGAAGAAGAGAGAUUGACGGUACCUGCAGAGAAAGCGCCGGCUAACUACGUG
RNAcentral lists this ribosomal RNA (471 nucleotides) under uncultured bacterium. RNAcentral's name for it is "partial 16S ribosomal RNA". It matches the Rfam family "Bacterial small subunit ribosomal RNA", at positions 28 to 507 of the family's 1533-position model. The record is from RNAcentral.